RNAcentral lists this ribosomal RNA (253 nucleotides) under uncultured bacterium. RNAcentral's name for it is "partial 16S ribosomal RNA". It matches the Rfam family "Bacterial small subunit ribosomal RNA", at positions 524 to 776 of the family's 1533-position model. The record is from RNAcentral.
UACGUAGGGUGCGAGCGUUAAUCGGAAUUACUGGGCGUAAAGCGUGCGCAGGCGGUUCUCCAAGUCCGUUGUGAAAGCCCCGGGCUCAACCUGGGAAUGGCAGUGGAAACUAGGGGACUGGAAUCUGGCAGAGGGGGGUGGAAUGCCGCGUGUAGCAGUGAAAUGCGUAGAGAUGCGGCGGAACACCGAUGGCGAAGGCAGCCCCCUGGGCUGAGAUUGACGCUCAGGCACGAAAGCGUGGGGAGCGAACAGG